CGAGCAGUCUCUGGGCCAUACUGACACUGAGAGCGAAGCAUGGGGAGCGAUCAGAUAGAUACCUGGUAGUCAUGCCGUAAACGCUGGGCGCUAGGUGUGGGGCUCAUUCCACGAGUUCCGUGCCGCAGCUAACGCAUUAAGCGCCCCGCGUGGGGAGUACGGCCGCAAGGCUAAAACUCAAAGGAAUUGACGGGGGCCCGCACAAGCGGCGGAGCAUGCGGAUUAAUUCGAUGCAACGCGAAGAACCUUACCAAGGCUUGACAUACACCGGAAACAUUCAGAGAUGGGUGCCCCGCAAGGUCGGUGUACAGGUGGUGCAUGGUUGUCGUCAGCUCGUGUCGUGAGAUGUUGGGUUAAGUCCCGCAACGAGCGCAACCCUCGUUCUAUGUUGCCAGCGCGUUAUGGCGGGGACUCAUAGGAGACUGCCGGGGUCAACUCGGAGGAAGGUGGGGAUGACGUCAAAUCAUCAUGCCCCUUAUGUCUUGGGCUUCACGCAUGCUACAAUGGCCGGUACAAAGGGCUGCGAUACCGCGAGGUGGAGCGAAUCCCAAAAAACCGGUCUCAGUUCGGAUUGGGGUCUGCAACUCGACCCCAUGAAGUCGGAGUCGCUAGUAAUCGCAGAUCAGCAACGCUGCGGUGAAUACGUUCCCGGGCCUUGUACACACCGCCCGUCAAGUCACGAAAGUCGGUAACACCCGAAGCCGGUGGCCUAACCCUUGUGGGGGGAGCCGUCGAAGGUGGGACUGGCGAUUGGGACUAAGUCGUAACAAGGUAGCCGUAGAAGGGCGAAUUCCAGCACA
RNAcentral lists this ribosomal RNA (800 nucleotides) under Arsenicicoccus bolidensis. RNAcentral's name for it is "bacterial SSU rRNA". It matches the Rfam family "Bacterial small subunit ribosomal RNA", at positions 714 to 1533 of the family's 1533-position model. Lineage: Bacteria; Bacillati; Actinomycetota; Actinomycetes; Micrococcales; Intrasporangiaceae. The record is from RNAcentral.